AUGCUGCCUUGUGUUUAUCUAGAUUAUAAAAGUAUGGUGGCACAUGAUUUUAUUAUUAAGAAUAGGGCAGGAGAGCUUAAAUAUCAAUUGUUCUUUAAUAAACAUCAUCCUGAGACUAUUACCUUGCCCGUUCCUACUUUGUUUGAUUUGACUGUAGGCAGGUACCUUGUUCCGUUGACGGCUAUUCACGCCUACCGGAACCCUGCACCAGCCGAGGAGCCAGAACCGGAACCACAAUUUGAUCCUUCACGACAGUCUAACUAUCAGUGGGAUCCGGAGAUGAUUGCCAACCAGUGGCAAUCGGAGCCUUCUUCUUCCUCAUCGCAGUACGACCCCAACUAA
Molecule: ribosomal RNA, 342 nt
Filed under: Triticum aestivum (bread wheat)
Lineage: Eukaryota; Viridiplantae; Streptophyta; Magnoliopsida; Poales; Poaceae
Description: partial small subunit ribosomal RNA
Source: RNAcentral